RNAcentral lists this ribosomal RNA (170 nucleotides) under uncultured bacterium. RNAcentral's name for it is "partial 16S ribosomal RNA". It matches the Rfam family "Bacterial small subunit ribosomal RNA", at positions 338 to 524 of the family's 1533-position model. The record is from RNAcentral.
CCUACGGGAGGCAGCAGCAAGGAAUUUUGUGCAAUGGGCGAAAGCCUGACACAGCAACGCCGCGUGGGGGAUGAAGGCUUUCGGGUUGUAAACCCCUUUUCUCAGGGAGGAAUAAUGACGGUACCUGAGGAAUAAGCCAUGGCUAACUACGUGCCAGCAGCCGCGGUAAU